Molecule: ribosomal RNA, 897 nt
Filed under: Cylindrospermopsis raciborskii UFMG186
Lineage: Bacteria; Bacillati; Cyanobacteriota; Cyanophyceae; Nostocales; Aphanizomenonaceae
Description: bacterial SSU rRNA
Rfam family: Bacterial small subunit ribosomal RNA
Source: RNAcentral
CUUGGGUCGUAAACCUCUUUUCUCAAGGAAGAAGAAAGUGACGGUACUUGAGGAAUAAGCAUCGGCUAACUCCGUGCCAGCAGCCGCGGUAAUACGGAGGAUGCAAGCGUUAUCCGGAAUGAUUGGGCGUAAAGGGUCUGCAGGUGGAACUGAAAGUCUGCUGUUAAAGAGUUUGGCUUAACCAAAUAAAAGCGGUGGAAACUACAGAACUAGAGUGCGGUAGGGGCAAAAGGAAUUCCUGGUGUAGCGGUGAAAUGCGUAGAUAUCAGGAAGAACACCGGUGGCGAAAGCGUUUUGCUAGACCGUAACUGACACUGAGGGACGAAAGCUAGGGGAGCGAAUGGGAUUAGAUACCCCAGUAGUCCUAGCCGUAAACGAUGGAUACUAGGCGUGGCUUGUAUCGACCCGAGCCGUGCCGGAGCUAACGCGUUAAGUAUCCCGCCUGGGGAGUACGCACGCAAGUGUGAAACUCAAAGGAAUUGACGGGGGCCCGCACAAGCGGUGGAGUAUGUGGUUUAAUUCGAUGCAACGCGAAGAACCUUACCAAGACUUGACAUCCUGCGAAUCCCGGUGAAAGCUGGGAGUGCCUUAGGGAGCGCAGAGACAGGUGGUGCAUGGCUGUCGUCAGCUCGUGUCGUGAGAUGUUGGGUUAAGUCCCGCAACGAGCGCAACCCUCGUUUUUAGUUGCCAGCAUUAAGUUGGGCACUCUAGAGAGACUGCCGGUGACAAACCGGAGGAAGGUGGGGAUGACGUCAAGUCAGCAUGCCCCUUACGUCUUGGGCUACACACGUACUACAAUGCUACGGACAGAGGGCAGCGAGCCAGGGAUGGCAAGCGAAUCCAGAAACCGUAGCUCAGUUCAGAUCGAAGGCUGCAACUCGCCUUCGUGAAGGAGGA